Molecule: ribosomal RNA, 253 nt
Filed under: uncultured bacterium
Lineage: Bacteria
Description: partial 16S ribosomal RNA
Rfam family: Bacterial small subunit ribosomal RNA
Source: RNAcentral
UACGUAGGGGGCAAGCGUUGUCCGGAUUUAUUGGGCGUAAAGAGCUCGUAGGUGGUUCGGUAAGUCGGAUGUGAAAUCUCCGGGCUUAACCCGGAGCGGUCAAGUGAUACUGUCGGACUAGAGUACAGAAGGGGCAACUGGAAUUCUCGGUGUAGCGGUGAAAUGCGUAGAUAUCGAGAGGAACACCUGCGGCGAAGGCGGGUUGCUGGGCUGAUACUGACGCUGAUGCGCGAAAGCCAGGGGAGCGAACGGG